RNAcentral lists this transfer RNA (77 nucleotides) under Candidatus Roizmanbacteria bacterium. RNAcentral's name for it is "tRNA-Phe". It matches the Rfam family "tRNA". Rfam says of the family: Transfer RNA (tRNA) molecules are approximately 80 nucleotides in length. Their secondary structure includes four short double-helical elements and three loops (D, anti-codon, and T loops). Further hydrogen bonds mediate the characteristic L-shaped molecular structure. tRNAs have two regions of fundamental functional importance: the anti-codon, which is responsible for specific mRNA codon recognition, and the 3' end, to which the tRNAs corresponding amino acid is attached (by aminoacyl-tRNA synthetases). tRNAs cope with the degeneracy of the genetic code in two manners: having more than one tRNA (with a specific anti-codon) for a particular amino acid; and 'wobble' base-pairing, i.e. permitting non-standard base-pairing at the 3rd anti-codon position. Lineage: Bacteria; Candidatus Roizmaniibacteriota. The record is from RNAcentral.
GCCGGGCUAGCUCAGCGGUUAGAGCACCUGACUGAAAAUCAGGGUUGUGCCCAGUUCGACUCUGGGGCCCGGCACCA